UACCUCCCUUCCUCCUCUUCUUCUGAUUUUCUUCUUCUUCUUCUUCUUUGUGGAAGAUCCACGCGUGGCUUCUUCUCGAUUUUUCAUCCCUUUCGUUAACCAUCUCUCUCCCUCUCUCACGCAAGUCGGGAACGACGAGACUUUUCGUCAACGACAUGCCUGAAAUCUCCAUCUUUCUCUUCUUCAGUCAACGCCACCACCCAACACCCUUUGCACCGCUGAACUCAUCGAUGAAUCUCAGCCACCACAUGCGGUAGCUCGCUGGAGAUCAAGCACAUCGUGGUCUGUCUCCAUUCUUUGUUUAGAUUCAACUUCUAGAGUUUUUAUUUUCACUCCCAUUUUCUUUUCAUUUCUCUUCAAAUGCUUACAUUUUACCCACAAUAUGAAAGUAUUCAAUCAAAGUUUCAUUAUUUCUAUUGUUGGUAUUUGUACGAUAUAUUAACUUCAAAUACUUUCAGUUUACCCACAAUGUGAUAUAUUGAUGGUUCAUUUUAUGAAAAACAUCCUUCAUAGUUUUGCUUUUAUAGAAGAUAUGUGUUUGUUUUGUCUACCAUCCUAUUCAAUAUUGUUGUUUACGAUCAUUUUGUCUAAUGUGAAUCUACAUUUUUUCUUUAUGGUUGGCUAUGUGAUGAAGCAUUUUGGUAGCUUACAAUUUGUUUGAUGAAAUGCCUCAAUGAAGCAUUUGAUUGAUUUUUAAUUGAUUUUUGUUCGUUCGAAUUAGAAAAUCAAGGCCAAGGGAGAUUUCAUGGCUAUGGGCUGAAGCUUUGAGAAAAAAAGAAUGAAAAAUGAAAUGUGAGAUUUUAAAUUUUGAUAAUGUGUAGGGUCUUUUUGUUUGUCUAUGCAUUUUCCAAGUGAAUUUGAGAAUUUUUAUUUUUCUAUUGAUCUUUUGUUUAUGGUUGCUAUUGAGUCGUAUUGUAAUUGCAUGAUAGUUAUAGCAUAAACAAACUAUAUAUAUAAACUUGAACACAAGUACUUGUUAUCUAACUCAUUACUAAAUCAUUGUAAUUUGGUUAGUCUUGAUUUACUAAUGAUUGAAGAUUAAAAAAAGCUAUGAACGUUUUUACUAUGAGCAAGAAAUAAACUCUUUACGUGGGAAUAGCCAUGUUACCACUCCUCAGGUAUCCAGUUUAUGUUACCACUACUCUUGAUUCAACUUCUUUAUGUUGUAUUGAGUAUCAUAUUGCAUUGACAUCAUAUGAUUUUUCUUCUUUUUUAAUAUUCAGAAUUGACAUUCUUGUUUAUGAUUCACUUCACUGAUAUAUGCAGUUCUAUUCGGCUUCAUUUGUAGGAGAUAUGUGUGAAGUAGUUGCGCAUGUUACUGAAAGAUAUCCCAAGGCUAAUGUGUAUGUUGUUGGCUGGUCACUUGGUAACAUUCUUGUUAGUUAUUUGAGAUAGGUAAAAGUAAAACAAUACAUAUUAAUCUCCAUCACUCUUUACGCUACUUAUUGGUUGCCAUUUUGUUUAAACCUCAUGAGUCUCAUGGAACGAUUGAAAUUGGAGUAUUUAAUUCAAAUUUGCGAGAAAAAGUCAUUUGGAAUAAUGUUUGUCUUCACGUGACAAUGAAGAAAAAAUUUAAGUUCGUGGAAUUAUGUUUGAAUGAACAAUAUUAUCAUUUUGGGGAUUCAACGUAACAGAAGUUCAACAACACAUAAGACACUUCAAGAUUUGUGUGAAUAAACUUGAAACAAAGAAAGUUAUUCUUUUAAAGAUUACAUCGUUGAAUAAUAUAUUUGGUGAUAAUACAAAGUUCAUUGUAUAAGAGUUUGGUGAUCAGGGGACUCUGUUUUUGUUUUUUUUUUUUUUUUUUCUAAUUCAACAAGUGGGGUAUGGGAAUUCAAACCGACCUCCAGGGAGGUAAUAUAUGCUUUAUUCACUGAUAUGCCUAGUGAAUUCAAUAUUCGCUUGGCUGCCAAAGCUACAACUGUUAGAGACUAUGAUGAUGUCUUAACUCGCAAUAUAGGUUCUCUUAAAUUUUGUUAUUUUCAUUCGAAGAACAUUAUCAUAUAUGCCAUUUCUUCUCCUUUAAACUUUUAUUACCUUUAUCUUAUUAUUAUUAUUAUUAUUAUUUUUGAACAACUUUCAGUUUCAUUUGGUUUUAACUUUGUGGAUGGAUACUACUCAAAGUCUAGGGGUUCAAAAUUCAUAAAAGAUGUCAAAAUUCCUUUGCUUUGCAUCCAGGUACCAUUUUUGUUCUUUGAAAUGUUGUCUUGUUCAAUUGUUCUUUUAGAACUCAAAGUUGCUGUCAAAUCUUUUUAAGUUAUCAUCUGUAAGGAAAUAAUAUAUUGUAAUUACUUUUGAAAAUAGUUUCCAAACAACUCUUAAACUCUCUCUUUUCCUUUAACCUCUUGUUAAUUGAUUUGGUUAAUUGAUUUGGAGAACUUACAGAAUGUCUAGGGAAAUUGUAGCUACGAGCAGUGUUCUCUCACAUAUAUCUUUGGGCAUUCUAUACAAUAUUGUUCUUGUAAUGCUAAGGGGCAUUUAAUUUGGUUUUCAGGCAGCAAAUGAUCUAAUUGCUCUAAAUAGAGGAAUUCCGUGAGAAGAUAUAGAGGUUUCACACAUGUUUAUCUUCAAGUUUUAUAAGUUAUCAGUUUAAAAAUCUAUUGAAAAGUUUAAUGUCAUUUGAUAAGCAUUAAACUUUUCAUAUUUGAAAAUUAGAUUCAUAAACACUACUACGAUAUAUUGGUUUUUUUGUCUUGUUGUCUACUUUUUUAGAACCUAAGCCAUGUUUUAAAAACUAAGGCCCGUUUUAUUUUUUGUUUUUGAAAAUCAUGCUUAUAAGCAAUAUGUGUGCGAAGAUAAGUUCUUGGUUUAUUCUCCCUUUAACAGCCAUUUCAUUGUUAAGGUUGUUGAAAUUUGUGUAUUGUUUUUACAUAAUUUCUUCUAAUAAGUUUCAUUUUCCCAAAAAAAAAAAAAAAUCAAAGUUCUCAAUCAAAUUUUGAAAACAAAAAUAUGUUUCUAAAAAUAAUCUUCUCUUGUUUGUUUCUGAAACCUCUUGUUUGUUUUCGAAACCUUGCUCUAAGUAUGAAAAUAUUAUUGAAAGUUAGAUGGGAAAGCACAAAAACCUUAAGUGAACAAGUGUUUACCAUUACUUUUGUUUUUAGAGUUUGAUUAAAGAUUUAAAUAUGAUUCUACGUACACCUCUAUUGUUUAACGUGCACCUUUAUUGUGAUUAGUGAGCAUAUUUUUUAAACGUGAUUGUUGUUGCAGGAAAAUCCAAACUACUGUAUGUUAAUAGUAACACCCAAAGGUGGGCAUCUAGUGUGGGUUAUAGGGCCCAGUGCUCCCCUCGGUUUUCCAUGGACCGAUCCAUUCAUGAUCUAUUUCCUCAUGUAUUUGGAAAACUAAAAAUUCAAAGUCUCAGCUUCUUCUAUAGGUUUAACAACGCAGAGAUAAUGACAUAGCCAUUGAUGGUAAUGAUAAUCUAUGAGCAUACGAGUAGAAACAUAAAAAAUAGUCAUUACCUAUGUCCCUAGUAGUUGAUUUGUGAGAUGUUUAAACAUAAUGUCAUGUAUAUAGUUUAUUUAUAAGUGUAAAAUGCACAUCAUUCUUAAUCAAAGCUAUUUGUUUAUGUAUCUUUAUGAACCCUUUUAGGUAGUUUAUCUUGGAAAUAUUUUUUUUAUCAUAUUUAAAGAGAUCGUCGUAUUGAUUGUUCUUUGUAAUAUAUGUGAUUUUCUUCCCUCAAUCAAGUGUUCUUGAUGUUUUUGUUGUCUUAGGUGUAUUCGAUGUCUUAGCAUAUACUAGUAUAUAAAUUGUUUCUUUUUAAUCAUACUAGUAAAUAAACUCAAGUGCAUGGACAUUGGGUUUCAUUUUGUUAAGAAAAUGAGUGUUUCCAAAUCCAUCUUUUGAGUUUUGCAGUAGCCUCAUCUUAACAAUCCAUGCUUGUUUGGCUGUCACAUUGGUUUCCAUCUUUAUUCAAUAAUCAUUUGUACGUGUAUAAAACUUUGAAAUCUAGAUAACGUUUUGGAGAUGGUUUUGUUAGUAGAUGAUUGAUUCUGUUGGGGGUGGUUGAUGAUUUUUUUCUAUAUUCAUGUUGUACUCUCUUUAAGCGUGUUGUACUCUCUUGUCCUGUGAUGUAUGCUUAUAUUCAUGUUGUCUUUGUAGGUUCUAAUGGAGCUGACAAAGUUCAUGAAAUUUUCGUCAAAGAAGCUAAUCAGAGUCAUCAAAAUACACUGGUUGUUUUUAGAAAUGAAGGAUUUGACCAUGGUUCAAGCAACAAAGAAUAUUUUUAGAGGUGAAGGGUUACCGGUUGGUUGUUUAUGCUUGUAAAGAAAAUCAUGUUAUAUGUAUUAUGAUGGUAUUUACACUGGUUUUGAUUAAGAGUUGUAAUUCCAUACUUAUAAAUUGUUCAAACUUGAUUGAAAAUGUACGGAUAUUACAAAGUGUAUUAUAGCGUAUAUAUUUUAAAGUGUCGACCAUUUGUUUCUAUAUGGGUGUUAUGUAUUAUAACAUUAUUGUCAGUCAAAUGAUUCAUGUAAUGGUGGAGCGACAAGGAGAACAAGAAAAAACAGUAGUAAUUGA
Molecule: long non-coding RNA, 4518 nt
Filed under: Cucumis sativus (cucumber)
Lineage: Eukaryota; Viridiplantae; Streptophyta; Magnoliopsida; Cucurbitales; Cucurbitaceae
Description: long non-coding RNA (CSAT_LNC000212)
Source: RNAcentral